Molecule: long non-coding RNA, 917 nt
Organism: Amphiprion ocellaris (clown anemonefish)
Lineage: Eukaryota; Metazoa; Chordata; Actinopteri; Pomacentridae
Source: Ensembl
GAGUCGGCUCCGUGCAGAGGUGCGCUUUCACGGCACUCACCAGAUAUAGAGGAAACAUCAGCGGUGUAUUUUCCACCUUCUGUGCCACGCUGGGAUACUAAAUCACUUCUUUUUUUUAUUGCUCUUCAUUCAUGUGAAGUUCAAUCAGGGACAGCAAGGUGUCGCGGACGAAGCAGCUGGAAGCGUGGGGAAGGAUUUUUCCUUAAACCUCUCUUCUCUUGGUUGAUUUUGGAGUUGUGACUGCUGCCAUGUGCACUUCCUAGUUUCUUUUAACAGAAAGGAGAGGGUAAAGCUCAUGCUACUCACCAUCCUCCUCCUCCUCCUGGCUGGAUCUCUAUGGAGAGGGUAUGCUGUAUGCGCUCACGCAGCUCUUGGAGUUACUUCGCGGCCGAGGCAACACCGUGAAUGUUAAGUUUCACCGACCUGGAGAGCAGAAGAAGACACACUUAAUCUCAUUUUGAAUGCCUUUGCAAGGAGUUUGCUGGUUUCUGUGCUGCAGGCAGGGCUUCAGUUUGCUCGGACGGGACUAUGGGGAGAAAGAGGAGGAAGAGUCUUUUGAAUUGCGCAACAAGGAGGACUUGACUCCCAAUGGACGGACUCCAGCUGAGGUGACUGUUUCUCAGCCAACUCGCACAGCCAAUGGAACAAAUGGGCACACUGUCUCAGAGGCGCCUGACGAGAUGAAGAGUCUGAUCAUUGAGAAGAAUAAGAUGGGCCUGGAGGAAGAGCCUGAGCUGCUGGUGAAAGGUGAGUUCGACUUGCACGACUAACGCAUCACAUCACACCACUGUUGCUCGGACACUCUAAAUCAGAAUCAGAAAUACUUUAUCGAUCACUGAGGAGAAAUUGCUUAAAUGAAACGCAUCAACCUGCUACACUCAGACAGUAUUGAGCAUUGUAGUGAAGCUCAAGUGAAG